GUCCCCGUAGUUCAAUGGAUAGAACGGGUCUCUCCUAAAGACUAGAUGCAGGUUCGAUUCCUGCCGGGGACGCCA
RNAcentral lists this transfer RNA (75 nucleotides) under Escherichia coli. RNAcentral's name for it is "tRNA-Arg". It matches the Rfam family "tRNA". From Rfam's summary of the family: Transfer RNA (tRNA) molecules are approximately 80 nucleotides in length. Their secondary structure includes four short double-helical elements and three loops (D, anti-codon, and T loops). RNAcentral also lists the same sequence under 85 other names. Lineage: Bacteria; Pseudomonadati; Pseudomonadota; Gammaproteobacteria; Enterobacterales; Enterobacteriaceae. The record is from RNAcentral.